GUAGGGUUUUGCCUUUUUCAGUGCGUCUGCAUGAUUAUUGGAGGUCUGAAACACAACGAGCAGCGAUUCAACAGCCGCUCUGCAGGAGUGAGCUCGGCGCUGCUUUUCAUCUCUGUGGGAGGCGAGUUUUCUGWAACCAACAUAACUUUUUUUCACCGUAUUUUGAGAGAGUUAACAGGUUUAAGACAAGAUAUGUUGAUGGCUCCAAAUGGUGUUAACGUGACUACAGAAUCAGUUGUUUCUCCUGUUUCUUCAGAAAAUUGUUUUGUUUUUUGUCGCUCACAGGCGUAUUCGCCCCCACACUUUUCUCCAAGGCGUACGGAGACCUGGUGUGUGAUUCGUGCACACAAGGAAAUGGCACGAGCAGCGACAGCAGGCCGUUUGUGUGCCACAACUGCCAAUACGAUCUGGCCAUUAGAGAGGAGGAGCUCUGAAACAGGCUCAGGCCCACGUGCACCUGGCUGUGAUUAAUGCCGACUUUGUUUUUGUUUUUAGCAACAGAAAAACAGAACUCUGUUCCAMGACCACGUCGAGCCUCUGGUGUACACGGUGUCGGCCCUCCUGCCUGCCGCCUACAUCAUCGGUCUGAUAUUUACUCUGAAAACACACUCCUACAUCUACAACUUCCACGUCGGAGAUGGGCAGGCGCCUGGUCCUCAUGGGACAGUUGUCCACUGGUCGUGGUGGAGGUCUCUGCUCAUCCUCGUCUGGGCCACCGUGCUCACGUCUGCGUGCGUGGACCUUGCGACCGAACACAUCCAGCCGAUACUCAGCCAGCCCAGCGUAUCUCAGUAUUUCAUAGGGGUGACGGUUCUAGCGAUGGUCCCAGAGAUCCCAGAGAYUGUUAAUGGGAUUCAGUUUGCCCUCCAGAACAACAUCAGUCUGAGGUAACUGCUGUCUUGACUAAAUAUAAAAUUUAAAAUCUAUUUUUGUAUCUUUAAGUACACUUUUUGUUUCAGCUUGGAGGUUGUAUUGCUGUGUAGGUCUGCAUGCUACAGAUACCGAUCCUGGUCCUGUUUAAUGCCUUCUGUGAUGUGGGCUUUGUGCUCGUGUUCACAGACCAGCACUUGUGGGCCAGUAUUUUCAGCGUCAUUCUAGUCAACUACAUCUUCAUGGAUGACAAGUCUGAUUAUUUUCAGGACACAGCUCUGGUGGUGGUUUACCUCAUCCUCCUGGCUCUGUAUUACUUCGCUCCGUCUCCGACCGGCUGUUAGGAUCAAAACUGACCAUCGGAUCAAAACUGACCAUCGGAUCAAAACUGACCAUCGGAUCAAAACUGACCAUCGGAUCAAAGCUUGCACUUUUUUAAGCCUGAAGGACUUUGAAUGAUCAAAUUCAGUCUGUUGGUGACCUGUGAUAGAAACAGUGACGAUGAUUUCUGCACAGUCUGUUUUAUGUUUUUUAUUUUAACGGAGGUUUUUAAUCUCAGGUAGGUACAUCUUUCACUGCACUGUAAUGACUGAUGAAUACAGAUGUUAACUUAUUUAGACUCAUAUCUUUUUAACUUGUGAAGAUAAAAGCUGUUUUUUUUAACGGUACAAAUUAACGUAAACCUAUAGUAACAUUUCUCUGAACUAUUGGGAUAAUGUUUGUGUACAUGAGGUGAAAAAUGUGAGAAAUGAGCUGCUCUUCCUAUCUGAAAACUGAUGUUUGAGAAGAAAAAUUAUUUUCAAAAAACACGUGCUUGUUUUGUUUUUAUUUAGCUUUUGUACAGACAAAAACUGACCAAGCAUCGUACYCAUUUUUAACCUUAGGGACACAUUCACUUCUUUCACAGAGAUUCUGUGUAGUUUCAUGCAAAACCACAUUUACAUGCAGAAGAUUUUAGCUUCCAUCAUCAGAAGUGAUGCAAAUCUGUAGACGAUAAUUUCAACUCCGGUACUAAGUUUGAUAAGCAGUGGGCUGCUCAAAAAAACAUAAAUAUGUCUGAGAACAUGAUGUUCAUGUUUGAGAAUGAUGAGGUSAAGGGAAAGUGUACCGACACAUUUACAUGAAACAAAGUUCAACAAAUAAAGGCAACAGGACCGGAUUUAAAGUUUAAAUGUACAGUACAUGGAAAAGAACUGCUGGUGUCUCAUAUUUAGAUUAAAAAAAACAUCUCAUAGUAUUUACCACCACUUGCAACUCUAACAAGUACCAAAACUUGAGAACUACAACCUCUAGAAAAAUGUAUAAGUUUUUUUUACAAUGUAAAAAUGACAAUGAUAGCAGGGAUAAUAUUGAAAAACAACAGCUACACGUUGAAGUACAUUUUCAAAGUUUGUCAUAAAUCAGCACAGUGUUUGAAAUAAAUAAAAUCUGUGAGUUUUGAGUUAAUGCACAGUCUGCAGGAACAUCAGCUGAAACGUCUAAAGGCUCAAGUGAAGAGCACCGCAUAGACCACUGAGUCGUAAACACUUAAAAAAUGGUUUAAAGAAAUGUUUCGGGAGGUCAGAAGGCACCAAAGAAAUCAUUUCAAUAAAUAAGUAUAAUCGGGUUGAAAAUCACUGUGGAACCACAAAUUUGAAGUGAAGGGGAACGACUGUAGAGGCACAGGAACUUCACAGUGAUGUCGUGUCUAAAACAAUAAAACGCAUCAGUGAGAGGRACGGCCGAUAAAGCUAAUUAUCUUUCAUGCUUUUUUAUGAGAAUCUUCUAAUUGUAAAGACAGACCACCAGAUUCACUAGUUUUAAAUUCCAGCAUUUAAAAAUAACUCCUGCAGCGAGGUUCAGCAACAGUGAAAUAAACACUUCAUGAGUCAAAACUACACCAUCAGAAGUCAUUUUCUCUUCCAACGGGGGAUCUUUCAUAUAGUUUCACGCUCCACAGGUUCCUCUGGCAAAAAAGAAGCAGUUUUUUUAAAUAGGUAUCGAGUGCAUAGAGGUUGAAAUUAGCACAGUUUGCUGUACUCUCUGAAGGAAAAUCUGA
Long non-coding RNA from Austrofundulus limnaeus, 2908 nucleotides. RefSeq lists it as uncharacterized. Lineage: Eukaryota; Metazoa; Chordata; Actinopteri; Cyprinodontiformes; Rivulidae. The transcript is spliced from 6 exons. The record is from RefSeq and is a predicted model, not a curated record.